GGCGAGAUAGCUCAGUCGGUAGAGCAGAGGACUGAAAAUCCUUGUGUCGGCGGUUCGAUUCCGCCUCUUGCCACCA
Molecule: transfer RNA, 76 nt
Filed under: Puniceicoccales bacterium
Lineage: Bacteria; Pseudomonadati; Verrucomicrobiota; Opitutia; Puniceicoccales
Description: tRNA-Phe
Rfam family: tRNA
About the family: Transfer RNA (tRNA) molecules are approximately 80 nucleotides in length. Their secondary structure includes four short double-helical elements and three loops (D, anti-codon, and T loops).
Source: RNAcentral